Molecule: ribosomal RNA, 465 nt
Filed under: uncultured Klebsiella sp.
Lineage: Bacteria; Pseudomonadati; Pseudomonadota; Gammaproteobacteria; Enterobacterales; Enterobacteriaceae
Description: bacterial SSU rRNA
Rfam family: Bacterial small subunit ribosomal RNA
Source: RNAcentral
CCUACGGGUGGCAGCAGUGGGGAAUAUUGCACAAUGGGCGCAAGCCUGAUGCAGCCACGCCGCGUGUGUGAAGAAGGCCUUCGGGUUGUAAAGCACUUUCAGCGGGGAGGAAGGCGUUAAGGUUAAUAACCUUGGCGAUUGACGUUACCCGCAGAAGAAGCACCGGCUAACUCCGUGCCAGCAGCCGCGGUAAUACGGAGGGUGCAAGCGUUAAUCGGAAUUACUGGGCGUAAAGCGCACGCAGGCGGUCUGUCAAGUCGGAUGUGAAAUCCCCGGGCUCAACCUGGGAGCUGCAUUCGAAACUGGCAGGCUAGAGUCUUGUAGAGGGGGGUAGAAUUCCAGGUGUAGCGGUGAAAUGCGUAGAGAUCUGGAGGAAUACCGGUGGCGAAGGCGGCCCCCUGGACAAAGACUGACGCUCAGGUGCGAAAGCGUGGGGAGCAAACAGGAUUAGAUACCCGUGUAGUC